GGCGGUGUGGCGGAAUUGGCAGACGCGCUGGACUCAAAAUCCAGUGCCGGUUACACGGCGUGUCGGUUCGACCCCGACCACCGCUA
Molecule: transfer RNA, 86 nt
Filed under: Facklamia miroungae
Lineage: Bacteria; Bacillati; Bacillota; Bacilli; Lactobacillales; Aerococcaceae
Also listed under: 13 other names
Rfam family: tRNA
About the family: Transfer RNA (tRNA) molecules are approximately 80 nucleotides in length. Their secondary structure includes four short double-helical elements and three loops (D, anti-codon, and T loops).
Source: Rfam by way of RNAcentral